UACGUAGGGUGCGAGCGUUAAUCGGAAUUACUGGGCGUAAAGCGUGCGCAGGCGGUUUUGUAAGCCAGAUGUGAAAUCCCCGGGCUUAACCUGGGAAUGGCAUUUGGGACUGCAAGGCUGGAGUGCGGCAGAGGAGACUGGAAUUCCUGGUGUAGCAGUGAAAUGCGUAGAUAUCAGGAGGAACACCGAUGGCGAAGGCAGGUCUCUGGGCCACUACUGACGCUGAGAAGCGAAAGCAUGGGGAGCAAACAGG
RNAcentral lists this ribosomal RNA (253 nucleotides) under uncultured bacterium. Its description in RNAcentral is "partial 16S ribosomal RNA". It matches the Rfam family "Bacterial small subunit ribosomal RNA", at positions 524 to 776 of the family's 1533-position model. The record is from RNAcentral.